UACGGGGGGGGCAAGCGUUGUUCGGAAUUACUGGGCGUAAAGGGUUCGUAGGUGGCCAACUAAGUCAGACGUGAAAUCCCUCAGCUCAACUGGGGAACUGCGUCUGAUACUGGUUGGCUUGAGUGCAGGAGAGGAACGCGGAAUUCCAGGUGUAGCGGUGAAAUGCGUAGAUAUCUGGAGGAAUACCGGUGGCGAAGGCGGCAUCCUGGACCGGCAUUGACGCUGAGGAGCGAAAGCCAGGGGAGCAAACGGG
This 253-nucleotide ribosomal RNA is filed under the name uncultured bacterium. RNAcentral describes it as "partial 16S ribosomal RNA". It matches the Rfam family "Bacterial small subunit ribosomal RNA", at positions 524 to 776 of the family's 1533-position model. The record is from RNAcentral.